RNAcentral lists this ribosomal RNA (497 nucleotides) under uncultured bacterium. RNAcentral's name for it is "partial 16S ribosomal RNA". It matches the Rfam family "Bacterial small subunit ribosomal RNA", at positions 28 to 507 of the family's 1533-position model. The record is from RNAcentral.
GAUGAACGCUGGCGGCGUGCCUAAUACAUGCAAGUCGAGCGAACAGACGAGGAGCUUGCUCCUCUGACGUUAGCGGCGGACGGGUGAGUAACACGUGGAUAACCUACCUAUAAGACUGGGAUAACUUCGGGAAACCGGAGCUAAUACCGGAUAAUAUAUUGAACCGCAUGGUUCAAUAGUGAAAGACGGUUUUGCUGUCACUUAUAGAUGGAUCCGCGCCGCAUUAGCUAGUUGGUAAGGUAACGGCUUACCAAGGCAACGAUGCGUAGCCGACCUGAGAGGGUGAUCGGCCACACUGGAACUGAGACACGGUCCAGACUCCUACGGGAGGCAGCAGUAGGGAAUCUUCCGCAAUGGGCGAAAGCUUGACGGAGCAACGCCGCGUGAGUGAUGAAGGUCUUCGGAUCGUAAAACGCUGUUAUUAGGGAAGAAAAAAUGUGUAAGUAACUAUGCACGUCUUGACGGUACCUAAUCAGAAAGCCACGGCUAACUACGUG